This is a small nuclear RNA of Choloepus hoffmanni (Hoffmann's two-fingered sloth), 162 nucleotides long. Its record names the gene U1. It matches the Rfam family "U1 spliceosomal RNA". From Rfam's summary of the family: U1 is a small nuclear RNA (snRNA) component of the spliceosome (involved in pre-mRNA splicing). Its 5' end forms complementary base pairs with the 5' splice junction, thus defining the 5' donor site of an intron. There are significant differences in sequence and secondary structure between metazoan and yeast U1 snRNAs, the latter being much longer (568 nucleotides as compared to 164 nucleotides in human). The record is from Ensembl. NCBI's taxonomy places the organism in Eukaryota, Metazoa, Chordata, Mammalia, Pilosa, Megalonychidae.
UAUUUCACCUGGCAGGGGAAACCCAUGAUCUCGAAGGUGGUUUACCCAGGGCGAGGCUUAUGCAUUGCGCUUGGGUGUGCUGACCCCUGAGAUUUCCCCAAAUGUGGGAAACUCGACUGCAUAAUUUGUGGUAGUAGAGGAUGGCAUUAGUACUCUGCCCUG